This 614-nucleotide long non-coding RNA is filed under the name Mus pahari (shrew mouse). RNAcentral describes it as "lncRNA (MGP_PahariEiJ_G0002278.1)". Lineage: Eukaryota; Metazoa; Chordata; Mammalia; Rodentia; Muridae. The record is from RNAcentral.
CUCUGCGGCUGUAAAUCACCAUACAGUCUACUCAGCUGUCACAGCAUACACGGAGCAGGUACAAGUCGUGGCGACUUGCUGUCGCUGUAAGUCCACAGAUAAAUAUCCUGUAAUGGCAUGAAUGCAGGCUUUCGGAAAGGUCAUGCUUUGCUCGGGGGAGGGAGGGGGGAGGUGGAGGAAGAGCGGCGGCUGUUCCAGAGGAUAAAAGCCACCUCGAAACCUGGUGCUUCUCUAUCACAGAAGCUGUGAUAAUGUAUUAAGGACAUUUCUAAGAGAUGAUGUUAGAAAUUCCAAACUGUGGCAGAAGGCCCAGCCAUCCCUGUUCUUUCCUUUUAGAACAGAGUGCAUGAGUAGUUACAGAAAUGAAUGGAAUGGACUUUACAUCUGGAGCUAAAAAGGCAGGGGUCCACGGUGGGUGAGCAUUCCCUACCUUCAACACAGAUGCUAUCACAAAGAUGGAUUCACAGUCAAGGUGGACUUCAAUUCCAGAAUUUAGUUUCUCCUUUAGCUCUCUGCAAGAUUUCAUGUUGGCCGACUGCCUGAAGAUGCCUUUUGUGAGGGGGCCUUUUUGGUUAAGGAAGGAAAGCAUAUCCUGCGAGGAAGCAGAGGAAGUA